GACGAACGCUGGCGGCGUGCUUAACACAUGCAAGUCGAGCGGUAAGGCCCCCUUCGGGGGUACACGAGCGGCGAACGGGUGAGUAACACGUGGGUGACCUGCCCUCAGCUCUGGGAUAAGCCUGGGAAACUGGGUCUAAUACCGGAUAUGACUCCAUGACGCAUGUCGUGGGGUGGAAAGCCUUGUGCGGCUGGGGGAUGGGCCCGCGGCCUAUCAGCUUGUUGGUGGGGUGANGGCCUACCAAGGCGACGACGGGUAGCCGGCCUGAGAGGGCGACCGGCCACACUGGGACUGAGACACGGCCCAGACUCCUACGGGAGGCAGCAGUGGGGAAUCUUGCGCAAUGGGCGAAAGCCUGACGCAGCGACGCCGCGUGAGGGAUGACGGCCUGG
Molecule: ribosomal RNA, 392 nt
Filed under: uncultured bacterium
Lineage: Bacteria
Description: bacterial SSU rRNA
Rfam family: Bacterial small subunit ribosomal RNA
Source: RNAcentral